AAGAACGCAGCUGGAGCAGUUUUCUCCAAGGGUGAAAAAUGGCUGAACAAAGUUGACAAGGAGUGCUACCAAUGCGAGUGUAAAGAGAAGGGACGAGCUACGUGUAAACUUAAACGUAAAUGUCGCAGGUCAUGUAAAUCUGAUGAGACAAGGGACCCAGGCUCUUGCUGUGGUUGCGUAAAACCACUGCCUCCUACCAGACCACCUAUACGAAGAUUUAAAACUAGAGAGGAGUUUCAGAACUAUUUGAAGUCACUCGGUAUAAAGCCAUAAAUGGAUUAGGUUGCCUCGUUCAAACCAAGACAUCUUUAACUUCAGGUUCAAUAAACGGGAAUUAUAAUGAAAAGAAAGGAAUUUGAUUCAGACAAAAUGGUGUGAAAUAUUAUAAUUGAUUCCUUGAUUUGACAAAUAAAGGACGUUAACUGUGAAA
Long non-coding RNA from Exaiptasia diaphana, 430 nucleotides. RefSeq lists it as uncharacterized. Lineage: Eukaryota; Metazoa; Cnidaria; Anthozoa; Actiniaria; Aiptasiidae. The record is from RefSeq and is a predicted model, not a curated record. The transcript has 2 exons.